Long non-coding RNA from Prosopis cineraria, 422 nucleotides. RefSeq lists it as uncharacterized. The record is from RefSeq and is a predicted model, not a curated record. Lineage: Eukaryota; Viridiplantae; Streptophyta; Magnoliopsida; Fabales; Fabaceae. The transcript has 3 exons.
CCUAGCUGUAUCGCCUCUCUUGUCUGCGUCUCUCAAUCUUGCCGAAUAUCUUCUUCCCCUUUCAUCUUCCAUUGCCACGGGUUAGUGCUAGUGGCCUUUAUUCUGCGUUCUCCUGCAACACCAAUAUCUUCUCCGCCUUCUCACGAUCUGUGGUCCUUUGUGUCCAUUAUCGGCCUUUGCAAUUGAAGAAGACCCUUACUUUUGCUUUGGUGAACUUUCUCUUUUCUAGGUUUGUAACAGGAGCUCCUGUGAUGCUUGUUGGGUGAAGAUAGUCCUGCAUUAUCUCAAGAAACUCAGUCAUCAAAUCAAUAGUCAAUACUCUCCUCAAAUGAUGAUGCUUCAUUUGGUUGUUGGCAAUGUUAAUCUCUCAUGAUUAUCAUACUUCUUGUUGUACUCUCGUUCCCUUUUGGUCCCACCUUUUG